CCCGCUGAACUUAAGCAUAUCAAUAAGCGCAGGAAAAGAAACCAACAGGGAUUACCUCAGUAACGGCGAGUGAAGCGGUAAUAGCUCAAAUUUGAAAUCUGGCCUCUCGGGGUCCGAGUUGUAAUUUGUAGAGGAUGUUUUGGGUACCGCCCCGGUCUAAAUUUCUUGGAACAGAAUGUCAAAGAGGGUGAGAAUCCCGUCUUGGACCGGCGGUAGGGCCUGUGUAAAACUCCUUCGACGAGUCGAGUUGUUUGGGAAUGCAGCUCAAAAUGGGUGGUAAAUUUCAUCUAAAGCUAAAUAUUGGCCAGAGACCGAUAGCGCACAAGUAGAGUGAUCGAAAGAUGAAAAGCACUUUGAGAAGAGAGUUAAACAGUAUGUGAAAUUGUUGAAAGGGAAGCGCUUGCAACCAGACUUGAGCGCGGCGGUUCCCCCGGUCUUUUGGCCGGGCUACUCCGUCGUGUCCAGGCCAACAUCGGUUCUGAGGGUCGGUCAAAGGCCUUGGGAAUGUAUCUACCUACGGGUAGACUUAUAGACUAGGGUGUCAUGCGGCCUCUCGGGACCGAGGAACGCGCUUCGGCUCGGAUGUUGGCGUAAUGGUUGUCAGCGACCCGUCUUGAAACACGG
Molecule: ribosomal RNA, 624 nt
Filed under: uncultured fungus
Lineage: Eukaryota; Fungi
Description: eukaryotic LSU rRNA
Rfam family: Eukaryotic large subunit ribosomal RNA
Source: RNAcentral